AGUUCGAUCAUGGCUCAGAUUGAACGCUGGCGGGAUGCUUUACAUGCAAGUCGAACGGCAGCACGUACUUCGGUCUGGUGGCGAGUAGAACGGUGAGUAAUGUAUCGGAACGUGCCUAGUAGCGGGGGAUAACUACGCGAAAGCGUAGCUAAUACCGCAUAUUGCCCUUCGGGGAAAGCGUAAUCCCCGGGCCUCGCACUAUUAGAGCGGCCGAUAUCGGAUUAGCUAGUUGGUGGGGUAACGGCUCACCAAGGCGACGAUCCGUAGCUGGUUUGAGAGGACGACCAGCCACACCGGGACUGAGACACGGCCCAGACUCCUACGGAGGCAGCAGUGGGGAAUUUUGGAUAAUGGGGAAACCCUGAUCCAGCCAUCCCGCGUGUGCGAUGAAGGCCUUCGGGUUGUAAAAAGCACUUUUGGCAGGAAAGAAACGGCACGGGGUAGCCCCGUGCAACUGACGGUACUCUGUGAAUAAGCACCGGCUAACUACGUGCCAGUACGCGGUAAUACGUAGGGUGCAAGCGUUAAUCGGAAUUACUGGGCGUAAGCGUGCGCAGGCGGUUCGGAAAGAAAGAUGUGAAAUCCCAGAGCUUAACUUUGAACUGCAUUUUUAACUACUGAGCUAGAGUGCGUCAGAGGGAGGUGGAAUUCCGCGUGUAGCAGUGAAAACGCGUAGAUAUGCGGAGGAACACCGAUGGCGAAGGCAGCCUCCUGGGAUAACACUGACGCCAUACGAAAGCGUGUAUAAACAGGAUUAGAUGUCCCGUAGUCCACGCCGUAAAACAUUAACGAGUUGUUAGCUCCAAUUUAAGGUGAAGCAAUCGGGUGGAAGCUGACCGCGCUCUGUAGAUAUGCAGUCGCAAGAUUAAAACUCAAAGGAAUUGACGGGGACCCGCACAAGCGGUGGAUGAUGUGGAUUGAAUUUGAUGCAACGCGAAAACCUUACCUCACUUUGACAUGCGUUCGGAAUCCCGAAGAGAUUUGGGAGUGCUCGCAAGAGAACCGGAACACAGGUGCUGCAUGGCUGUCGUCAGCUCGUGUCGUGAGAUGUUGGGUUAAGUCCCGCAACGAGCGCAACCCUUGUCAUUAGUUGCUACGAAAGGGCACUCUAAUGAGACUGCCGGCGACAAACCGGAGGAAGGUGGGGAUGACGUCAAGUCCUCAUGGCCCUUAUGGUAGGUCAUUAUCGUCAUACAAUGGUCGGGACAGAGGGUCGCCAACCUGCGAGGGGGAGCAAUCCCAGAAACCCGAUCGUAGUCCGAUCGCAGUCUGCAACUCGACUGCGUGAAGUCGGAAUCGCCAGUAAUCGCGGAUCAGCAUGUCGCGGUGAAUACGUUCCCGGGUCUUGUACACACCGCCCGCCACACCAUGGGGAGGGUUUUUACCAGAAGUAGUUAGCCUAACCGUAAGAGGGCGAUUACCACGGUAGGAUUCAUGACUGGGGUGAAGUCGUAACAAGGUAG
RNAcentral lists this ribosomal RNA (1463 nucleotides) under uncultured Bordetella sp. Its description in RNAcentral is "partial 16S-23S ribosomal RNA intergenic spacer". It matches the Rfam family "Bacterial small subunit ribosomal RNA". Lineage: Bacteria; Pseudomonadati; Pseudomonadota; Betaproteobacteria; Burkholderiales; Alcaligenaceae. The record is from RNAcentral.